GAUGAACGCUAGCGAUAGGCUUAACACAUGCAAGUCGAGGGGCAGCACAAGGUAGCUUGCUAUCUGGGUGGCGACCGGCGCACGGGUGCGUAACGCGUAUGCAACUUGCCCUAUACAGGAGGAUAACCCGUCGAAAGACGGACUAAUACUGCGUAUGCUCACAACUUGGCAUCAAGUGGUGAGGAAAGAAAUUCGGUAUAGGAUAGGCAUGCGUCCCAUUAGCUUGUUGGUGAGGUAACGGCUCACCAAGGCAACGAUGGGUAGGGGAACUGAGAGGUUUAUCCCCCACACUAGUACUGAGACACGGACCAGACUCCUACGGGAGGCAGCAGUGAGGAAUAUUGGUCAAUGGGCGCGAGCCUGAACCAGCCAAGUCGCGUGAAGGAUGACUGUCUUAUGGAUUGUAAACUUCUUUUAUACGGGAAUAACAAGAGUCACGUGUGACUCCCUGCAUGUACCGUAUGAAUAAGCAUCGGCUAACUCCGUG
This 487-nucleotide ribosomal RNA is filed under the name uncultured bacterium. Its description in RNAcentral is "partial 16S ribosomal RNA". It matches the Rfam family "Bacterial small subunit ribosomal RNA", at positions 28 to 507 of the family's 1533-position model. The record is from RNAcentral.